Gigantopelta aegis is the source of this 437-nucleotide long non-coding RNA. RefSeq lists it as uncharacterized. The record is from RefSeq and is a predicted model, not a curated record. The transcript is spliced from 3 exons. Lineage: Eukaryota; Metazoa; Mollusca; Gastropoda; Neomphalida; Peltospiridae.
CUCAACUUAGUAAGGCCCUUACUAAGGGGUCGUUGUGCAACUACUUAUGCUCUGGGAUAACGUAACGUUAUGGUGGAAUCGAAGGAGAGCGAUCGCCUGGUAUGCUUAGGACGCAGGAUUGAAUCCCACAGCAAACCUAUUCUCCGAUUGUUUUCACCCAACUAAGCUACUACCCCAUGACCAGUAUGCCGAAAGACGAAAGACGUGACACAGAUGACCUAGACACAGACUGCUGUGAAGACUAUUCCCAGCUACAUGUAUCGACCAAUUUAAUGUGUUAUUCUCUUGUACAAUCACUAAAACUGUAGUGUCCACGCUUUCCCUGUGUAAACCCCGUCGGUGGCCCUAUUGCGCUAUUUCUCGUUCCAGCCAGUGCACCACGACUGGUAUAUCAACAGCCGUGGUAGGUGAUACCCUGUCUAUGGGAUUGGUGCACA